RNAcentral lists this ribosomal RNA (822 nucleotides) under Triticum aestivum (bread wheat). Its description in RNAcentral is "partial small subunit ribosomal RNA". Lineage: Eukaryota; Viridiplantae; Streptophyta; Magnoliopsida; Poales; Poaceae. The record is from RNAcentral.
AUGUCAAUCUAUUCAUCUACCCUCCUCGAUUUCUUUUCACGGAACUUCUUAACUAAGCCAUCGCCGGAGGCCACUGCACCCAAGCCCUCAUCAUACGAUGUCAUCCACGCCGGCGAGCACACGUUAAAGGUUGCGGUGCACUCCAUGCUCAAAGAAGGCGAUACAAUGCUCACGUCCGGGCCCUUCAGCGUCGGCGGUCACGACUGGGCUAUCGCCUACUUUCCAAACGGCGACUCCAGGAUUGUCGACGGGCAGUUCACGUCUGUUUUUCUCAAGUUGCUGAGUGCCAGCGAGGACGAGGUCACGGCGACCUACACCUUCAGUCUCCAGGAUCCUGCAUGGUCUGUGACCGGAGAGAAGAACAAACGCGGACCCGCCACCGCGAAGUUCUCGUCCAACCAGCUAGGUUGGGGUACUCCUAAGUUUGUUAGUAAAGCCGCUCUGACCGCGUCCGGGUGCCUCAAGGAUGAUUGCCUGGUGAUCAAGUGCACCGUCAAGAUUGUUACCACCAAACUCAUGAAAGACCAUGAAGACGAUGGGGACGACAACAGCGUUGUCGUGUGCCACCCUCCGAUCUCCACAGCCUUCUUGAUAGCGAGCUCAAGCCGGACAAGACUGUUAAGAUCGGUUGGUUCAAGAGAUUCAAGGUGCAUGGGCGCGUGCUCGCUGCACAGUCUCCGGUCUUUCGUGCCCUGGUGGAGAGCAAGAGAAACUGCAUCCGCGUUGACGAUAUGGAUGUCAACGUCUUCGAGGUACUGCUGCACUACGUGUACAAUGAGACUCUGCCCGACUUCAUGGAGGAGACCACGGAACAUGCUUUAA